This 439-nucleotide ribosomal RNA is filed under the name uncultured bacterium. RNAcentral describes it as "partial 16S ribosomal RNA". It matches the Rfam family "Bacterial small subunit ribosomal RNA", at positions 338 to 795 of the family's 1533-position model. The record is from RNAcentral.
CCUACGGGUGCAGCAGUGGGGAAUAUUGCACAAUGGGGGAAACCCUGAUGCAGCGACGCCGCGUGAGUGAAGAAGUAUUUCGGUAUGUAAAGCUCUAUCAGCAGGGAAGAAAAUGACGGUACCUGAUUCAGAAGCCCCGGCUAACUACGUGCCCGCAGCCGCGGUAAUACGUAGGGGGCAAGCGUUAUCCGGAUUUACUGGGUGUAAAGGGAGCGUAGACGGCGAGGUAAGCCUGAAGUGGAAGCCCGCGGCCCAACCGCGGAACUGCUUGUGGAACUGUUUUGCGGGAGUAUGGGAGGGGUAAGCGGAAUUCCUGGUGUAGCGGUGAAAUGCGUAGAUAUCAGGAGGAACACCGGUGGCGAAGGCGGCUUACUGGACCAUAACUGACGUUGAGGCUCGAAAGCGUGGGGAGCAAAUGGGAUUAGAUACCCCAGUAGUC